RNAcentral lists this long non-coding RNA (301 nucleotides) under Ictidomys tridecemlineatus (thirteen-lined ground squirrel). Its description in RNAcentral is "lncRNA (ENSSTOG00000034306.1)". Lineage: Eukaryota; Metazoa; Chordata; Mammalia; Rodentia; Sciuridae. The record is from RNAcentral.
UUCCAAUAUAUUUCUGUUUUGAAAGUACCCUUCUUUUUUUAUUCUAUUUUAGAGGCAUUUAGAUGGGAUUUCCAUACCAUGUCCAUCCUGGGGACAUGAGUGCAUUUAUAGAAUACUCAGUUGUAUAUUUCCAUUGAGAGACUUUUCUUGGAAUGCUGGACUGCAGCGUGAAAGUUUUAGCUGUUGACUGGCUCAACUUUAAAGACGCUUCUACACACUGGAAAUUCUAUUAAGGUAUUUAUUUUAGAUGAAAAUAUAAUGGCAUUUUUAAUUACUCUUAAGUUUAUUAAUGCCACAAAGU